UCAGGGCCAAUGCGGCUUCUCAAAAUCCACGUUGUCAAGAAGUUUCAGGUUCAAUCAACACUCCACUUUAAAGAUAUGGUUUCCUGCAAGAUUGAAAUUUAAUCUUAACUUUGCAGAUGCUUUAUCUUUGAGGUGGAAUGUCAAGUGAAACUGAAAUUUCUUGGCAACGUGGAGUUUGAGAAAGCGCACUAGCUCUGA
Molecule: non-coding RNA, 198 nt
Organism: Marchantia polymorpha subsp. ruderalis
Lineage: Eukaryota; Viridiplantae; Streptophyta; Marchantiopsida; Marchantiales; Marchantiaceae
Source: the annotation of a GenBank genome assembly